RNAcentral lists this small RNA (27 nucleotides) under Bombyx mori (domestic silkworm). RNAcentral's name for it is "ovarian small RNA-33061". The record is from RNAcentral. Lineage: Eukaryota; Metazoa; Arthropoda; Insecta; Lepidoptera; Bombycidae.
UGAUUCGAUUCAAAGCGCUAUAGUCCA